Molecule: small nuclear RNA, 90 nt
Filed under: Propithecus coquereli (Coquerel's sifaka)
Lineage: Eukaryota; Metazoa; Chordata; Mammalia; Primates; Indriidae
Source: RNAcentral
GUGCUUGCUUCAGCAGUACAUAUACUAAAAUUGGAACGAUACAGAGAAGAUUAGCACAGCCCCUGUGAUUUAAAAAAAGAAAAAAUUUUA